AGUGAACGCUGGCGGUAGGCCUAACACAUGCAAGUCGAACGGCAGCACAGUAAGAGCUUGCUCUUACGGGUGGCGAGUGGCGGACGGGUGAGGAAUACAUCGGAAUCUACUUUUUCGUGGGGGACAACGUAGGGAAACUUAUGCUACUACAGCAUAUGAUCUACGGGUGAAAGCAGGGGUUCUUCGGACCUUUCGCGAUUGAAUGAGCCGAUGUCGGAUUAGCUAGUUGGCGGGGUAAAGGCCCACCAAGGCGACGAACCGUAGCUGAUCUGAGAGGAUGAUCAGCCACACUGGAACUGAGACACGGUCCAGACUCCUACGGGAGGCAGCAGUGGGGAAUAUUGGACAAAGGGCGAAAGCCUGAUCCAGCCAUGCCGCGUGAGUGAUGAAGGCCUUCGGAUUGUAAAGCCCUUUUGUUGGGAAAGAAAAGCAGCGGGUUAAUACCUCGCUGUUUUGACGGUACCCAAAGAAUAAGCACCGGCUAACUACGUG
RNAcentral lists this ribosomal RNA (492 nucleotides) under uncultured bacterium. RNAcentral describes it as "partial 16S ribosomal RNA". It matches the Rfam family "Bacterial small subunit ribosomal RNA", at positions 29 to 507 of the family's 1533-position model. The record is from RNAcentral.